CCCUUGGCCCAUUGGUUGAUCAAGGGUUAAUUAAUGCUUCUACAUCCAGAGGUCUGGGGUUCGAGUCCCAUAUACUGCAAUUUAAAAAAUAUAUUUGCAGAUUAUUGGAGGCAAAUGUGCAUGAGAUCUUCAGCGAUGUAUAAUUAUAGCCGUUCGCCAGGAUUCUACACAGAGGGAGAAGUGUCCAUCAAGAACAUGAAGAAGGAGGUGAAAGAGGUGACGUCUAUCGUGGAUCUAAUAAGGGUCGGAAGGAAUUGUCAGUUGUAGAAUCGCUAUGUAACAGUUUUUCAUAAUUUGUAAUAAUUAAUAAAUCUUGAGGAAAAAAACACUUAAAAUUAAAUUUGUUUAUAUAUAUAAUUUAAAAUGACUAUAAUC
Molecule: long non-coding RNA, 375 nt
Filed under: Arabidopsis lyrata
Lineage: Eukaryota; Viridiplantae; Streptophyta; Magnoliopsida; Brassicales; Brassicaceae
Description: long non-coding RNA (ALYR_LNC001420)
Source: RNAcentral